GACGAACGCUGGCGGCGUGCUAACACAUGCAAGUCCCGGAGCGAAUGAAAGCUUGCUUUUAUGAGCUUAGUGGCAAACGGGUGAGUAACACGUAGACAACCUGCCGACAGGAUGGGGACAACAUUCCGAAAGGAAUGCUAAUACCGAAUGAAGCGGAGGAGAGGCAUCUCUCCUCCGUGAAAGAUGGCCUCUUUUUAUGCUAUCACCUGUCGAUGGGUCUGCGUCUGAUUAGCUAGUUGGUGAGGUAACGGCUCACCAAGGCGACGAUCAGUAGCCGGUCUGAGAGGAUGAACGGCCACAUUGGGACUGAGACACGGCCCAGACUCCUACGGGAGGCAGCAGUGGGGAAUCUUCCGCAAUGGGCGCAA
RNAcentral lists this ribosomal RNA (368 nucleotides) under Centipeda dianae. RNAcentral describes it as "bacterial SSU rRNA". It matches the Rfam family "Bacterial small subunit ribosomal RNA", at positions 28 to 380 of the family's 1533-position model. The record is from RNAcentral. Lineage: Bacteria; Bacillati; Bacillota; Negativicutes; Selenomonadales; Selenomonadaceae.